This 367-nucleotide transfer-messenger RNA is filed under the name Caldicellulosiruptor bescii. RNAcentral's name for it is "Standard tmRNA". It matches the Rfam family "transfer-messenger RNA". Rfam says of the family: Bacterial tmRNA, also known as 10Sa RNA or SsrA, is named for its dual tRNA and mRNA-like properties. Its role is to liberate the mRNA from a stalled ribosome. To accomplish this part of the tmRNA is used as a reading frame that ends in a translation stop signal. Lineage: Bacteria; Bacillati; Bacillota; Caldicellulosiruptorales; Caldicellulosiruptoraceae. The record is from RNAcentral.
GGGGGCGUGUUUUGGAAUUCGACGGGGGCAGUCGGAUUCCAAAUAGCGGGUAGUGGUUUUCUCGGAACCACUAUAAAAAACCGAGAAGAAAAAUAACUGCAGACAAAGCAGAACUCGCUUUAGCUGCGUAAAUAAGCAGCUAACGUCCGCCGGAGGUACCCACGGCCUCCGAGCCGGGCGCCAACCCACGUGGGGCACCGAAAGUAAGGUCGCCUGAGCCUUACUUUUGGGACCAAUCUCAGGCUGGGGAAGAAAAAGCCUGUCAGUGGGCGUUUUCUUCCCGAGAGCUUAAGUACACUGACUGCACCCGGAGAAGUUUGGGGUUCGAUGCCUUCGGACGGGGGUUCAAAUCCCCCCGCCUCCACCA